Molecule: unclassified non-coding RNA, 349 nt
Filed under: soil metagenome
Description: partial contains 5.8S ribosomal RNA, internal transcribed spacer 2, and large subunit ribosomal RNA
Rfam family: 5.8S ribosomal RNA (bases 1-120)
Source: RNAcentral
GAUGAAGAACGUAGUGAAAUGCGAUAACUAGUGUGAAUUGCAGAAUUCCGUGAAUCAUCGAGUCUUUGAACGCACAUUGCGCCCCCUGGUAUUCCGGGGGGCAUGCCUGUCCGUGCGUCAUUGCUGCCCAUCAAGCACGGCUUGUGUGUUGGGUCGUCGUCCCCUCUCCGGGGGGGACGGGCCCCAAAGGCAGCGGCGGCACCGCGUCCGAUCCUCGAGCGUAUGGGGCUUUGUCACCCGCUCUGUAGGCCCGGCCGGCGCUUGCCGAACGCAAAUCAAUCUUUUUCCAGGUUGACCUCGGAUCAGGUAGGGAUACCCGCUGAACUUAAGCAUAUCAAUAAGCGGAGGA